CUCGGCUGCACGAUUUGCAUCCGACUGUAAUCACUGUAACAGAAACAGAAUCAACUUCAUCACUUCUUGUAGCAGAGUUCUGCGAAGUAGGACACGACACGGUUACACUUUUCGAAGGAAAUUCGAUUUUUACCGAAUGCUGCGUAAUUUCGAAGGGAAAUGGCGAAGGAUUUCGUGUCGACUGGAGCUCACAAGUAUCCUUGAUGCGGAAAUGGGAAAUGUUGAAGAUGGGCGAUUGGACGUGUUCCUGAAUAAUUGACGAUAUGGAAUAUGGAAAAUCAAAAACGUCUACGUAAGUGAAGAGAGCUCAAUCACUGUGCGAUUUUUGGAGAAAAACUGGCCAGGAGCAGAGUAAAUUUCAAUAAAAUAUUGAUUCGAACCUGAGAAUGAAGAUGAAGAAUUUCGAAGAUGCUCAUGCUACUAAUCAUGUUGAAAGAACUUGUGAUAAAUAAAAUUGUUCCUUCGUCAUUUUUUUCAAUUUCGGUCUGAACGUUUCUCUUUCUACCCAAUCAUAUGAUCACGUUCCUGAGCGCAAUAAAGGCUGAUUUAAAGUUACUGAAAAUUCAUAACCGAAUGUAGUUAACAUUCAAACAUAUCAAUCAUUUCAGAAAAGAAUUUGUUUCGUCGAUGUUAGGCGUUCUACAUACCAGAUAAUCGAGUUUAGAAAUUUAAGUCACGAUAUCAUGAAACCAAGCAAAGUUGGAAAUUCCGAAGCAGAACAGUUCG
Planococcus citri (citrus mealybug) is the source of this 726-nucleotide long non-coding RNA. RefSeq lists it as uncharacterized. The transcript is spliced from 5 exons. Lineage: Eukaryota; Metazoa; Arthropoda; Insecta; Hemiptera; Pseudococcidae. The record is from RefSeq and is a predicted model, not a curated record.